Molecule: ribosomal RNA, 442 nt
Filed under: uncultured bacterium
Lineage: Bacteria
Description: bacterial SSU rRNA
Rfam family: Bacterial small subunit ribosomal RNA
Source: RNAcentral
CCUACGGGGGGCUGCAGUGAGGAAUCUUCCACAAUGGGGGCAACCCUGAUGGAGCAACGCCGCGUGCAGGAUGAAGGCCUUCGGGUCGUAAACUGCUUUUAUUUGUGAAGAAUAUGACGGUAACAAAUGAAUAAGGGUCGGCUAACUACGUGCCAGCAGCCGCGGUCAUACGUAGGACCCAAGCGUUAUCCGGAGUGACUGGGCGUAAAGAGUUGCGUAGGCGGUUAGUUAAGCGAAUAGUGAAACCUGGUGGCUCAACCAUACAGACUAUUAUUCGAACUGGCUAACUCGAGAGUGGUAGAGGUAACUGGAAUUUCUAGUGUAGGAGUGAAAUCCGUAGAUAUUAGAAGGAACACCAAUGGCGUAGGCAGGUUACUGGACCAUUUCUGACGCUGAGGCACGAAAGCGUGGGGAGCGAACCGGCUUAGAUACCCUAGUAGUC